UUUGAUCUGGCUCAGAACGAACGUUGGCGGCGUGGAUUAGGCAUGCAAGUCGAACGAGAACCGUAGCAAUACGGGGAAAGUGGCGAAAGGGGCAGUAAUGCAUGGGUAAUCUACCCCGGGGACGUGGAUAGCCAUCCUAACGGGUGGGUAAUACACGGCGAUUCGGCGGCGACGCAUGUUGCUGCCGGGAAAGGAAUUUCGCCUCGGGAGGAGCUCAUGUCGUAUUAGCUAGUUGGUGGGGUAACGGCCCACCAAGGCGAAGAUGCGUAGGGGUGUGAGAGCACGACCCGCGCCACUGGCACUGAGACACUGGCCAGACACCUACGGGUGGCUGCAGUCGAGGAUCUUCGGCAAUGGGCGCAAGCUGCACCGAGCGACGCCGCGUGCGGGACGAAGGCCUUCGGGGUUGUAAACCGCUGUCGAGGGGGAGAAAGGCGCAAGCUUGAGUCUAUCCCUGGAGGAAGCACGGGCUAA
RNAcentral lists this ribosomal RNA (474 nucleotides) under uncultured bacterium. RNAcentral describes it as "bacterial SSU rRNA". It matches the Rfam family "Bacterial small subunit ribosomal RNA", at positions 12 to 500 of the family's 1533-position model. The record is from RNAcentral.